RNAcentral lists this ribosomal RNA (492 nucleotides) under uncultured bacterium. Its description in RNAcentral is "partial 16S ribosomal RNA". It matches the Rfam family "Bacterial small subunit ribosomal RNA", at positions 29 to 507 of the family's 1533-position model. The record is from RNAcentral.
AGUGAACGCUGGCGGUAGGCCUAACACAUGCAAGUCGAACGGCAGCACAGUAAGAGCUUGCUCUUACGGGUGGCGAGUGGCGGACGGGUGAGGAAUACAUCGGAAUCUACUUUUUCGUGGGGGAUAACGUAGGGAAACUUACGCUAAUACCGCAUACGACCUACGGGUGAAAGCAGGGGAUCUUCGGACCUUGCGCGAUUGAAUGAGCCGAUGUCGGAUUAGCUAGUUGGCGGGGUAAAGGCCCACCAAGGCGACGAUCCGUAGCUGGCCUGAGAGGAUGACCAGCCAAACUGGAACUGAGAAACGGUCCAGACUCCUACGGGAGGCAGCAGUGGGGAAUAUUGGACAAUGGGCGCAAGCCUGAUCCAGCCAUACCGCGUGGGUGAAGAAGGCCUUCGGGUUGUAAAGCCCUUUUGUUGGGAAAGAAAAGCAGCAGGUUAAUACCCCGCCGUUCUGACGGUACCCAAAGAAUAAGCACCGGCUAACUUCGUG